Molecule: long non-coding RNA, 273 nt
Filed under: Brassica napus (rape)
Lineage: Eukaryota; Viridiplantae; Streptophyta; Magnoliopsida; Brassicales; Brassicaceae
Description: long non-coding RNA (BNAP_LNC024838)
Source: RNAcentral
GAAAACACAGUUAAACUGUUAAAACCGUGAAGGAAAAAACAAAAGAGAAACAUAAAUUAAGGUUUUGCGAACAGAGGAUAAGAAGAAGAUGAGGACAGUAUUGUCAUUUUACAUUUAUUAAUGAUAAAUUAUUGAAAUAAACGAAACACCCCCUUCAUACCUCGAACACGCGACCUGGACAACGUUAUGGAGGGAACCAACCACUAAACCACGACAGAUAACAGUUAAACACCUAACAUAAUAUAAUAUCUAUAUUUUACAAAACCAUCUUCU